Molecule: ribosomal RNA, 253 nt
Filed under: uncultured bacterium
Lineage: Bacteria
Description: partial 16S ribosomal RNA
Rfam family: Bacterial small subunit ribosomal RNA
Source: RNAcentral
UACGUAGGGUGCGAGCGUUAAUCGGAAUUACUGGGCGUAAAGCGUGCGCAGGCGGUUGUGCAAGACAGAUGUGAAAUCCCCGGGCUUAACCUGGGAACUGCAUUUGUGACUGCACAGCUGGAGUGCGGCAGAGGGGGAUGGAAUUCCGCGUGUAGCAGUGAAAUGCGUAGAUAUGCGGAGGAACACCGAUGGCGAGGGCAAUCCCCUGGGCCUGCACUGACGCUCAUGCACGAAAGCGUGGGGAGCAAACAGG